CCUCCUUCCAUUCUAUUUCUCUGUCUUUGCCAUUGAAGCAGAGUUGCCAGCCAUCUAUGGAUCCUAACUAAAUUGGUCCUUGUAAUACUCGGUAUUAUUUGCCAAGAUAUUGAAAAACCUCUAAACAGUGAGAAGCUCCCAGCCCCUUUUCUGUGUCUCUCAUCACCAGCUGCUGUGCCCUGAGGACACCCAGGCAGCCUAAGGAGAGGCCCACAGGUGAGAAACUGCAUGUGUGAGCUGAGCUUGGAAGUGGAUCUUCUAUGUUUUGCCAACAGCCACGUGACUAGUUUUGGAAGCAGAUUCUCCAGCCCCAGCUGCACCUGUGCCAGAGGCACCCAUUAAGCCGCACCUAGUUAAAUUCCUGACCCACAAAGACUUUGAAAUCAUAAAUGUUUGUUGUUUUAAGCUGCUAAGUUUUGAAGUAAUCUGCCAUGUAGCAACAUGAAACUACUUGGACCAAAUAUGUGUUUUUCUAAGCACAGGAAUA
RNAcentral lists this long non-coding RNA (487 nucleotides) under Homo sapiens (human). Its description in RNAcentral is "HSALNT0293410". The record is from RNAcentral. Lineage: Eukaryota; Metazoa; Chordata; Mammalia; Primates; Hominidae.